GCUUGUAUAGUUUAAUAAAAAAUGUUGCUUUGUGGAGGCGAUGAUGUAUUGUUUACUGCUGGUC
RNAcentral lists this transfer RNA (64 nucleotides) under Parajapyx emeryanus. RNAcentral describes it as "tRNA-His". Lineage: Eukaryota; Metazoa; Arthropoda; Diplura; Dicellurata; Parajapygidae. The record is from RNAcentral.